UGAUCCUACGGGGGGCAGCAGUGGGGAAUAUUGCACAAUGGGGGAAACCCUGAUGCAGCGACGCCGCGUGAGUGAAGAAGUAUCUCGGUACGUAAAGCUCUAUCAGCAGGAAAGAAAAUGACGGUACCUGACUAAGAAGCCCCGGCUAACUACGUGCCAGCAGCCGCGGUAAUACGUAGGGGGCAAGCGUUAUCCGGAUUCACUGGGUGUAAAGGGAGCGUAGACGGCCAA
Molecule: ribosomal RNA, 231 nt
Filed under: uncultured bacterium
Lineage: Bacteria
Description: partial 16S ribosomal RNA
Rfam family: Bacterial small subunit ribosomal RNA
Source: RNAcentral